RNAcentral lists this ribosomal RNA (441 nucleotides) under uncultured bacterium. RNAcentral describes it as "partial 16S ribosomal RNA". It matches the Rfam family "Bacterial small subunit ribosomal RNA", at positions 338 to 795 of the family's 1533-position model. The record is from RNAcentral.
CCUACGGGAGGCAGCAGUGGGGAAUAUUGCACAAUGGGGGAAACCCUGAUGCAGCGACGCCGCGUGAGUGAAGAAGUAUUUCGGUAUGUAAAGCUCUAUCAGCAGGGAAGAAGCAAGACGGUACCUGACUAAGAAGCCCCGGCUAACUACGUGCCAGCAGCCGCGGUAAUACGUAGGGGGCAAGCGUUAUCCGGAUUUACUGGGUGUAAAGGGAGGGUAGACGGUAUGGCAAGUCUGAAGUGAAAGCCCGGGGCUUAACCCAGGGACUGCUAUGGAAACUGUUAGUCUAGAGUGCAGGAGAGGUAAGUGGAAUUCCUAGUGUAGCGGUGAAAUGCGUAGAUAUUAGGAGGAACACCAGGGGCGAAGGCGGCUUACUGGACAGUAACUGACGUUGAGGCUCGAAAGCGUGGGGAGCAAACAGGAUUAGAUACCCUUGUAGUC